UAUAUAUUAAUGUUAAAAUGCAUAAAAAUUUUUGAAAUUUUAAGAAUUAGUGUAAUUCUAAUAUAUAUAU
RNAcentral lists this transfer RNA (70 nucleotides) under Meteorus sp. 1 XHS-2023a. RNAcentral describes it as "tRNA-Gln". Lineage: Eukaryota; Metazoa; Arthropoda; Insecta; Hymenoptera; Braconidae. The record is from RNAcentral.